GUCUGUAGUUCGCCAGGUGAGGUGUGGUCAGUCUCCCCUUCCCUGUCUGGUCUGUAGUUCGCCAGGUGAGGUGUGGUCUGUCUCCCCCUUCCCUGUCUGGUCUGUAGUUCGCCAGGUGAGGUGUGGUCAGUCUCCCCCUACCCUGUCUGGUCUGUAGUUCGCCAGGUGAGGUGUGGUCUGUUCCCCUUCCCUGUCUGGUCUGUAGUUCACCAGGUGAGGUGUGGUCAGUCCCCCCCUUCCCUGUCUGGUCUGUAGUUCGCCAGGUGAGGUGUGAGACAGACUGUAUCAUGUUCGUGCUUCUCUGCCUUUUUUUUACCUGUUUUUACAUGUGGUUUUCAACAUGAAGCCUUUCCUCUUGUACAGAACUUUCUGAAGGUUUCAUUAAACAUGUUUUUAAAAGUUCAAUAUUCUUCCACAUUUAAUAAAGUCUUGAAAGAG
Molecule: long non-coding RNA, 438 nt
Organism: Oncorhynchus masou masou (cherry salmon)
Lineage: Eukaryota; Metazoa; Chordata; Actinopteri; Salmoniformes; Salmonidae
Exons: 2
Source: RefSeq, a predicted model, not a curated record